RNAcentral lists this ribosomal RNA (459 nucleotides) under uncultured bacterium. RNAcentral describes it as "partial 16S ribosomal RNA". It matches the Rfam family "Bacterial small subunit ribosomal RNA", at positions 338 to 795 of the family's 1533-position model. The record is from RNAcentral.
CCUACGGGCGGCAGCAGUGAGGAAUAUUGGUCAAUGGCCGCAGGUCUGAACCAGCCAAGUCGCGUGAGGGAUGACGGUCCUAUGGAUUGUAAACCUCUUUUGUCAAGGAGCAAAGGGCGCCACGUGUGGCUUUUUGCGCGUACCUUAAGAAAAAGCAUCGGCUAACUCCGUGCCAGCAGCCGCGGUAAUACGGAGGAUGCGAGCGUUAUCCGGAUUUAUUGGGUUUAAAGGGUGCGCAGGCGGAAUGUCAAGUCAGCGGUAAAAUUUCGGGGCUCAACCCCGUCGUGCCGUUGAAACUGGCGGUCUUGAGUGAGCGAGAAGUAUGCGGAAUGCGUGGUGUAGCGGUGAAAUGCAUAGAUAUCACGCAGAACUCCGAUUGCGAAGGCAGCAUACCGGAGCGCAACUGACGCUCAUGCACGAAAGCGUGGGUAUCGAACAGGAUUAGAUACCCGGGUAGUC